Molecule: non-coding RNA, 356 nt
Organism: Dehalococcoidia bacterium CG2_30_46_19
Lineage: Bacteria; Bacillati; Chloroflexota; Dehalococcoidia
Source: Rfam
UAAGUAAACCGGGUGACCGUCCUGUGCUUUAAGCAUAGGGAGGAAAGUCCGAGCUCCACCGAGCAAGGUGCUGGGUAACACCCAGGAGGGGCGACCCUAUGGAAAGUGCCACAGAAACAUACCGCUUCAGAAAUGAAGCAAGGGUGAAAUGGCGAGGUAAGGGCUCACCAGCAGCCAGGUGACUGGCUGGCUGGGCAAACCCCACCUGGAGCAAGACCAAACAGAGGGCGAUUAAGGUGCUCGGCCGAGGCCCUGGGUAGGUCGCUUGACCUUGAUGGUAACAUCAAGGCUAGAUGAAUGGUCACCACCCUGAUAUUUUCAGGGCACAGAACUCGGCUUACAGGUUUACUUACCCC